RNAcentral lists this ribosomal RNA (348 nucleotides) under uncultured bacterium. RNAcentral describes it as "partial 16S ribosomal RNA". It matches the Rfam family "Bacterial small subunit ribosomal RNA", at positions 338 to 678 of the family's 1533-position model. The record is from RNAcentral.
CCUACGGGGAGCAGCAGUGGGGAAUAUUGCGCAAUGGGCGAAAGCCUGACGCAGCGACGCCGCGUGAGGGAUGAAGGUCUUCGGAUCGUAAACCUCUGUCAGCAGGGAAGAACGGUCACGGGGCUAAUCAGCAGUGAAUGGACGGUACCGGCAAAGGAAGCACCGGCUAACGCCGUGCCAGCAGCCGCGGUAAUACGGAGGGUGCGAGCGUUAAUCGGAAUUACGGGGCGUAAAGCGCGCGUAGGCGGUAUGUCAAGUCAAGGGUGAAAUCCCCGCGCUCAACGUGGGAACUGCCUUUGAAACUGGCACCCUGGAGUGUGUGAGCGGCUAGUGGAAUUCCAGGUGUCG